Oncorhynchus tshawytscha (Chinook salmon) is the source of this 375-nucleotide long non-coding RNA. The record is from Ensembl. NCBI's taxonomy places the organism in Eukaryota, Metazoa, Chordata, Actinopteri, Salmoniformes, Salmonidae.
UUGAAGGAGCCAUGGGAGAAUGCGUUUACAUUUUUAUUAAAUAUCUGGGAUUAAAUGACGGAUUUCUUACACUGAGAAAUGUACGACAUUUGCGGCAGAGGGAAAAAGUAAUACAUUGGAUAAUAAUGUUAUCAGGUUAAUUGUAUCUAAGGGAAGCAUUGGAUAAUAAUGUUAUCAGGUUAAUUGUAUCUAAGGGUAGCAUUGGAUAAUAAUGUUAUCAGGUUAAUUGUAUCUAAGGGAAGCAUGUUCAUUUAAGUAAACAUAUACAUUGACGUUGUUUAAAACUUAUGAUUAAUGAUUUGAGUUAAAGGGGAAUCAUCAUUAGGUUUAGUUUAUAGUUCACUUUUGAGUUUCUGAAUCGAAGUAGAAAAUUGA